AAGUCGUAACAAGGUUUGGAAUAAUGAUUCUUCCAUGACGCUUAUGAGAAGCCUUUGUGGCCCCGCAAGGGGUACUGGCCGCGACUAUAAAGAAUGGAUGCUGGUAUUAAAUCGCAAGUCUGCACCUGCAGGCGACACUUUCGAAUUGCGGGGAUCCCCUAAAGCUCUUCUCUACCAAUCAGUGCGGGAAACCGUGCUGGGGCUUGUGUUAACAGCACGAGGUAUGGUAAAAAUGAGAAGAGAUACGUUUGAAAUUUCAAACAAAAUGGGUAAUCCGCAGCCAAGUCCCUACGGCGUAUUGCUACGGGAAAGGUUCACAGACUAAGUGGAAGUGGGCUCACAGAGCUUAAGAUAUAGUCGGGUUCCAUAGGAAACUAUGGAAGCUGUCGUGCAAAAUGAUAGAAAACCGUUCCGUAGGUGAACCUGCGGAAGGAUCAUUACCAAAAUCUAGCUGCUCUGGUUCAGGCCAGUUGCACGCUUCAACCCUUUGUGAACCAAAAACCUUUACGCUUCGGCAGCUGGUCUCAGCUGUAAGCCUGCCGAUGGCACCAAUUUAAACCAGUCGUUAAAACACUGUCUGAACUAUUUAUUUUCGAAUGAAAAUUAAAACUUUCAACAACGGAUCUCUUGGNUCUCGCAUCGAUGAAGAACGCAGCGAAACGCGAUAGUUAAUGUGAAUUGCAGAAUUCAGUGAAUCAUCGAGUCUUUGAACGCACAUUGCGCCCAUUGNNNUCCUUUGGGCAUGUCUGUUUGAGCGUCAUUACACGCCUCAGCGCACGCUGGUAUUGAGCUGUGANNNUCAGAAAUGANCCCUUCGCUUAAAGUNUAAGCUCUGCUGANNNAACUGGNCGAAAACAUAGUAANUUCUUGCUGUUGAUGAGAAAGUUGAGAGGUUUGGCCUGAAAAACACCUUCAAUUUCUAAGGUUUGACCUCAGAUCAGACAAGGAUACCCGCUGAACUUAAGCAUAUCAAUAAGCGGAGGAAAAGAAACCAACAGGGAUUGCCUCAGUAACGGCGAGUGAAGCGGCAAUAGCUCAAAUUUGAAAUCUGGAGCCUUCGGCUUCCGAGUUGUAAUUUGAAGAGGAAGUUUCGGUUGCGAUCUGGGCCUAAGUUCCUUGGAACAGGACGUCAUGGAGGGUGAGAAUCCCGUACAUGGCUGCAGGUUUGCUUCUAUGUGAAACUCCUUCGAAGAGUCGAGUUGUUUGGGAAUGCAGCUCAAAAUGGGUGGUAAAUUUCAUCUAAAGCUAAAUAUUGGCGAGAGACCGAUAGCGCACAAGUAGAGUGAUCGAAAGAUGAAAAGCACUUUGAAAAGAGAGUUAAACAGUAUGUGAAAUUGUUGAAAGGGAAGCGCUUGCAAUCAGACUCACUUUCAGUUGAUCAACGUUCCUUCUGGUUCGUGCACUUUGCUGUUUGUGGGCCAGCAUCAGUUGGAGCGGUGGGACAAAGACAGCAGGAAUGUGGCUCUCUUCGGGGAGUGUUAUAGCCUGUUGUGUAAUGCCACCAGUUCCGAUUGAGGUCCGCGAUUCGUCUAGGAUGCUGGCUUAAUGGUUGUAAGCGACC
RNAcentral lists this ribosomal RNA (1561 nucleotides) under uncultured fungus. RNAcentral describes it as "eukaryotic LSU rRNA". The stretch from base 928 to 1561 matches the Rfam family "Eukaryotic large subunit ribosomal RNA", at positions 1 to 649 of the family's 3401-position model. The record is from RNAcentral. Lineage: Eukaryota; Fungi.